AGCGAACGCUGGCGGCAGGCUUAACACAUGCAAGUCGAGCGGGCCCUUCGGGGUCAGCGGCAGACGGGUGAGUAACGCGUGGGAACGUGCCCUUCGGUUCGGAAUAACUCAGGGAAACUUGAGCUAAUACCGGAUACGCCCUUAUGGAGAAUGGUUUACUGCCGAAGGAUCGGCCCGCGUCUGAUUAGCUAGUUGGUGAGGUUAUGGCUCACCAAGGCGACGAUCAGUAGCUGGUCUGAGAGGAUGAUCAGCCACACUGGGACUGAGACACGGCCCAGACUCCUACGGGAGGCAGCAGUGGGGAAUAUUGGACAAUGGGGGCAACCCUGAUCCAGCCAUGCCGCGUGAGUGAUGACGGCCUUAGGGUUGUAAAGCUCUUUUCUCCGGGACGAUAAUGACGGUACCGGAGGAAUAAGCCCCGGCUAACUUCGUG
Molecule: ribosomal RNA, 433 nt
Filed under: uncultured bacterium
Lineage: Bacteria
Description: partial 16S ribosomal RNA
Rfam family: Bacterial small subunit ribosomal RNA
Source: RNAcentral